UACGGAGGGUGCAAGCGUUGUUCGGAAUUAUUGGGCGUAAAGGGCAGGUAGGUGGUCUUUUAAGUCUUCUGUGAAAUCCCAGGGCUUAACCCUGGAAGUGCGGAGGAUACUGGAAGACUAGAGUGCUAUAGGGGUGUGUGGAAUUCUCGGUGUAGCGGUGAAAUGCGUAGAUAUCGAGAGGAACAUCAGAGGCGAGGGCGACACACUGGAGAGCAACUGACACUCAACUGCGAAAGCGUGGGGAGCAAACAGG
This 253-nucleotide ribosomal RNA is filed under the name uncultured bacterium. RNAcentral's name for it is "partial 16S ribosomal RNA". It matches the Rfam family "Bacterial small subunit ribosomal RNA", at positions 524 to 776 of the family's 1533-position model. The record is from RNAcentral.